Long non-coding RNA from Nomascus leucogenys (northern white-cheeked gibbon), 423 nucleotides. RefSeq lists it as uncharacterized. The record is from RefSeq and is a predicted model, not a curated record. NCBI's taxonomy places the organism in Eukaryota, Metazoa, Chordata, Mammalia, Primates, Hylobatidae. The transcript is spliced from 3 exons.
CCCCGAGGGUUCGCGUGAGCGGAGCACGGGGCUCGGGGUGCGGGGGGCUGGUGUAAUGGACGCAUUUGUUCUUUGGUCCCUGACGAUUGUUUCUCAUUUGCCCUCCAAGCCCCAAAUCCUGUCAGUCCACGGCCUUGGUGGAGCGGCCCCGUGGGACGACCCUGUUGAUUGUGCUAGCGGAUGUUGCCUCCAUUCUGGAUCUGGGAAAAACUGUGGAGUGAAAGCCGGACCUGUUAGGGUUGGGACCUGAAAGCGGACUUUUUCGCUCUCAGACGGGCGCCAGGAAUUUCAUGUUUAACAGAUGUGUCUUCAAGGAGAUGAAACAAUUCAGAAUGGCCCAGACAACGGGGUAAUUCCUAAGAACCCACCACCGUGCCCUGAGGAAGCCCAAACAACCCAUGGAGACAUCCGCAUGGAGAGACC